Tinamus guttatus (white-throated tinamou) is the source of this 103-nucleotide non-coding RNA. The record is from RefSeq and is a predicted model, not a curated record. Lineage: Eukaryota; Metazoa; Chordata; Aves; Tinamiformes; Tinamidae.
GAGAAGCAUGUGUGCUUGGCAGGGAGGGAAGGGAAGGAAGAAGCCACCACGCUUCCAAAGCUGAUGGAUGCUAGGAAAUGCCCUCAGGCUACAAACUGGGAAG